GCACCGGCUACUACGUGCCAGCAGCCGCGGUAAUACGUAGGGUGCGAGCGUUGUCCGGAAUCAUUGGGCGUAAAGAGUACGUAGGCGGUAUGAUAAGUUAGGAGUAAAAGGCACCGGCUCAACCGGCGUAAGCUUUUAAAACUGUCAUACUUGAGACAUUGAGGGGAAAGUGGAAUUUCUAGUGUAGCGGUGAAAUGCGCAGAUAUUAGGAAGAAUACCAGAGGCGAAAGCGACUUUCUAGCGAUGAUCUGACGCUGAGGUACGAAAGCGUGGGUAGCAAACAGGAUUAGAUACCCUGGUAGUCCACGCUGUAAACGAUGAGUGUUAGGUGUCUGGGAGAACCUGGGUGCCACAGCAAACGCAAUAAACACUCCGCCUGGGGAGUACGCACGCA
Molecule: ribosomal RNA, 394 nt
Filed under: uncultured bacterium
Lineage: Bacteria
Description: bacterial SSU rRNA
Rfam family: Bacterial small subunit ribosomal RNA
Source: RNAcentral